RNAcentral lists this ribosomal RNA (775 nucleotides) under uncultured Neocallimastigales. RNAcentral's name for it is "partial large subunit ribosomal RNA". It matches the Rfam family "Eukaryotic large subunit ribosomal RNA", at positions 26 to 618 of the family's 3401-position model. The record is from RNAcentral. Lineage: Eukaryota; Fungi; Neocallimastigomycota; Neocallimastigomycetes; Neocallimastigales.
CGUCUAUAUACGUAUAGCAUAUCAAUAAGCGGAGGAAAAGAAGCUAACAAGGAUUCCCUUAGUAACGGCGAGUGAAGCGGGAAGAGCUCAAAUUUGAAAUCUUCAAGGUUCUACCUUGACGAAUUGUAGUUUAAAGAAGUGUUUUCUGUUAGAGGAGUAGCAAAAGUUCUUUGGAAUAGGACAUCAUAGAGGGUGAGAAUCCCGUAUUUGGUUAUUCUUUCUAGCUUUGUGAUACACUUUCAAAGAGUCGGAUUGUUUGGGAAUGCAGUCCGAAAUGGGUGGUAAAUUUCAUCUAAAGCUAAAUAUUGGCGAGAGACCGAUAGCGAACAAGUACCGUGAGGGAAAGAUGAAAAGAACUUUGAAAAGAGAGUUAAACAGUACGUGAAAUUGUCAAAAGGGAAGCGUUUGACACCAGUGUUGUUUUUCCGAAAAUCAAUUAAGAGUGGCUUGAUUUUGUGUUGUAUUGACCUUAUCAGCUUUCUUCACUCUUUUUCGAGUCUUUCUUAAUGCACUUUUCGGUUAACAAGUCAACAUCAAUUUCUUUUGUUGUAAAAGGGUAUUUGGAAGGUGGCUUUCUUUUCGGAGAAAGUGUUUAUAGCCUUAUACCUCUACAAUCGGAGAGAUUGAGGUCUGCAGCGUAGAUCCUUCGGGGCUAGAUACACUUGUGCUAAGUUAUAGCUUUUCAUAGACAACUUGUUGACUAUGUUUAGUCAUGUAGCUUACCCGCUUGUGCUAUUUUACCUACGCUUAGGAUGUUGAGUCAUCACACAUCUCU